RNAcentral lists this ribosomal RNA (2901 nucleotides) under Escherichia coli. RNAcentral describes it as "23S ribosomal RNA". It matches the Rfam family "Bacterial large subunit ribosomal RNA". Lineage: Bacteria; Pseudomonadati; Pseudomonadota; Gammaproteobacteria; Enterobacterales; Enterobacteriaceae. The record is from RNAcentral.
UUAAGCGACUAAGCGUACACGGUGGAUGCCCUGGCAGUCAGAGGCGAUGAAGGACGUGCUAAUCUGCGAUAAGCGUCGGUAAGGUGAUAUGAACCGUUAUAACCGGCGAUUUCCGAAUGGGGAAACCCAGUGUGAUUCGUCACACUAUCAUUAACUGAAUCCAUAGGUUAAUGAGGCGAACCGGGGGAACUGAAACAUCUAAGUACCCCGAGGAAAAGAAAUCAACCGAGAUUCCCCCAGUAGCGGCGAGCGAACGGGGAGCAGCCCAGAGCCUGAAUCAGUGUGUGUGUUAGUGGAAGCGUCUGGAAAGGCGCGCGAUACAGGGUGACAGCCCCGUACACAAAAAUGCACAUGCUGUGAGCUCGAUGAGUAGGGCGGGACACGUGGUAUCCUGUCUGAAUAUGGGGGGACCAUCCUCCAAGGCUAAAUACUCCUGACUGACCGAUAGUGAACCAGUACCGUGAGGGAAAGGCGAAAAGAACCCCGGCGAGGGGAGUGAAAAAGAACCUGAAACCGUGUACGUACAAGCAGUGGGAGCACGCUUAGGCGUGUGACUGCGUACCUUUUGUAUAAUGGGUCAGCGACUUAUAUUCUGUAGCAAGGUUAACCGAAUAGGGGAGCCGAAGGGAAACCGAGUCUUAACUGGGCGUUAAGUUGCAGGGUAUAGACCCGAAACCCGGUGAUCUAGCCAUGGGCAGGUUGAAGGUUGGGUAACACUAACUGGAGGACCGAACCGACUAAUGUUGAAAAAUUAGCGGAUGACUUGUGGCUGGGGGUGAAAGGCCAAUCAAACCGGGAGAUAGCUGGUUCUCCCCGAAAGCUAUUUAGGUAGCGCCUCGUGAAUUCAUCUCCGGGGGUAGAGCACUGUUUCGGCAAGGGGGUCAUCCCGACUUACCAACCCGAUGCAAACUGCGAAUACCGGAGAAUGUUAUCACGGGAGACACACGGCGGGUGCUAACGUCCGUCGUGAAGAGGGAAACAACCCAGACCGCCAGCUAAGGUCCCAAAGUCAUGGUUAAGUGGGAAACGAUGUGGGAAGGCCCAGACAGCCAGGAUGUUGGCUUAGAAGCAGCCAUCAUUUAAAGAAAGCGUAAUAGCUCACUGGUCGAGUCGGCCUGCGCGGAAGAUGUAACGGGGCUAAACCAUGCACCGAAGCUGCGGCAGCGACGCUUAUGCGUUGUUGGGUAGGGGAGCGUUCUGUAAGCCUGCGAAGGUGUGCUGUGAGGCAUGCUGGAGGUAUCAGAAGUGCGAAUGCUGACAUAAGUAACGAUAAAGCGGGUGAAAAGCCCGCUCGCCGGAAGACCAAGGGUUCCUGUCCAACGUUAAUCGGGGCAGGGUGAGUCGACCCCUAAGGCGAGGCCGAAAGGCGUAGUCGAUGGGAAACAGGUUAAUAUUCCUGUACUUGGUGUUACUGCGAAGGGGGGACGGAGAAGGCUAUGUUGGCCGGGCGACGGUUGUCCCGGUUUAAGCGUGUAGGCUGGUUUUCCAGGCAAAUCCGGAAAAUCAAGGCUGAGGCGUGAUGACGAGGCACUACGGUGCUGAAGCAACAAAUGCCCUGCUUCCAGGAAAAGCCUCUAAGCAUCAGGUAAUAUCAAAUCGUACCCCAAACCGACACAGGUGGUCAGGUAGAGAAUACCAAGGCGCUUGAGAGAACUCGGGUGAAGGAACUAGGCAAAAUGGUGCCGUAACUUCGGGAGAAGGCACGCUGAUAUGUAGGUGAAGUCCCUCGCGGAUGGAGCUGAAAUCAGUCGAAGAUACCAGCUGGCUGCAACUGUUUAUUAAAAACACAGCACUGUGCAAACACGAAAGUGGACGUAUACGGUGUGACGCCUGCCCGGUGCCGGAAGGUUAAUUGAUGGGGUCAGCGCAAGCGAAGCUCUUGAUCGAAGCCCCGGUAAACGGCGGCCGUAACUAUAACGGUCCUAAGGUAGCGAAAUUCCUUGUCGGGUAAGUUCCGACCUGCACGAAUGGCGUAAUGAUGGCCAGGCUGUCUCCACCCGAGACUCAGUGAAAUUGAACUCGCUGUGAAGAUGCAGUGUACCCGCGGCAAGACGGAAAGACCCCGUGAACCUUUACUAUAGCUUGACACUGAACAUUGAGCCUUGAUGUGUAGGAUAGGUGGGAGGCUUUGAAGUGUGGACGCCAGUCUGCAUGGAGCCGACCUUGAAAUACCACCCUUUAAUGUUUGAUGUUCUAACGUUGACCCGUGAUCCGGGUUGCGGACAGUGUCUGGUGGGUAGUUUGACUGGGGCGGUCUCCUCCUAAAGAGUAACGGAGGAGCACGAAGGUUGGCUAAUCCUGGUCGGACAUCAGGAGGUUAGUGCAAUGGCAUAAGCCAGCUUGACUGCGAGCGUGACGGCGCGAGCAGGUGCGAAAGCAGGUCAUAGUGAUCCGGUGGUUCUGAAUGGAAGGGCCAUCGCUCAACGGAUAAAAGGUACUCCGGGGAUAACAGGCUGAUACCGCCCAAGAGUUCAUAUCGACGGCGGUGUUUGGCACCUCGAUGUCGGCUCAUCACAUCCUGGGGCUGAAGUAGGUCCCAAGGGUAUGGCUGUUCGCCAUUUAAAGUGGUACGCGAGCUGGGUUUAGAACGUCGUGAGACAGUUCGGUCCCUAUCUGCCGUGGGCGCUGGAGAACUGAGGGGGGCUGCUCCUAGUACGAGAGGACCGGAGUGGACGCAUCACUGGUGUUCGGGUUGUCAUGCCAAUGGCACUGCCCGGUAGCUAAAUGCGGAAGAGAUAAGUGCUGAAAGCAUCUAAGCACGAAACUUGCCCCGAGAUGAGUUCUCCCUGACCCUUUAAGGGUCCUGAAGGAACGUUGAAGACGACGACGUUGAUAGGCCGGGUGUGUAAGCGCAGCGAUGCGUUGAGCUAACCGGUACUAAUGAACCGUGAGGCUUAACCU